GCAAACUUGGUCAUUUAGAGGAAGUACAAGUCGUAACAAGGUUUCCGUAGGUGAACCUGCGGAAGGAUCAUUAACGAAUCAUGUGUGAUGUAUGAUUGUGUGUGUAUGUAUGCAUGUGGAUGCAUGUAUGUAGAUAAUAUACACAUUUGUGCAUGUAUAUGUAUGUGUGUAGAUAAUAUACACAUUUGUGCAUGUAUAUGUGUGUGUAGAUAAUAUACACAUUUGUGCAUCCACAUGCAUACAAUCACAUUAUACACCAUACAUUGGCCCUCCCUGAUUGGGAAGUGCAUAUUCAUGCUAUUAUUGUGUUGUUGUUGUUGUGGCAUGUGUAUAUGAUGUAUGCAUCAUACACAUGCAUGUGCAUAAACAGAUAACUUUUAACAAUGGAUCUCUAGGCUCUUGCAUCGAUGAAGAACGCAGC
This 421-nucleotide unclassified non-coding RNA is filed under the name uncultured fungus. Its description in RNAcentral is "partial contains small subunit ribosomal RNA, internal transcribed spacer 1, and 5.8S ribosomal RNA". The stretch from base 1 to 73 matches the Rfam family "Eukaryotic small subunit ribosomal RNA", at positions 1759 to 1831 of the family's 1831-position model. The record is from RNAcentral. Lineage: Eukaryota; Fungi.